GAGUAAGUGCUCAACUGUUGAGGUGA
This 26-nucleotide non-coding RNA is filed under the name Homo sapiens (human). The record is from RNAcentral. Lineage: Eukaryota; Metazoa; Chordata; Mammalia; Primates; Hominidae.